UAGGGGAUAUUGCACAAUGGGCGGAAGCCUGAUGCAGCAACGCCGCGUGGGCGAUGAAGGCCUUCGGGUCGUAAAGCCCUUUUGCGGGGGAAGAGGAAGGACAGUACCCCGUGAAUAAGCCUCGGCUAACUACGUGCCAGCAGCCGCGGUAAAACGUAGGAGGCGAGCGUUAUCCGGAUUUACUGGGCGUAAAGCGCGUGCAGGCGGCAUGGAAAGUUGGAUGUAAAAGCUCCCGGCUCAACUGGGAGAGGUCGUUCAAAACUACCAAGCUAGAGUACAGUAGAGGGAAGUGGAAUUCCGGGUGUAGUGGUGAAAUGCGUAGAUAUCCGGAGGAACACCAGUGGCGAAAGCGGCUUUCUGGACUGUAACUGACGCUCAGACGCGAAAGCUAGGGUAGCAAACGGG
RNAcentral lists this ribosomal RNA (405 nucleotides) under uncultured bacterium. Its description in RNAcentral is "bacterial SSU rRNA". It matches the Rfam family "Bacterial small subunit ribosomal RNA", at positions 355 to 776 of the family's 1533-position model. The record is from RNAcentral.